RNAcentral lists this long non-coding RNA (295 nucleotides) under Nicotiana benthamiana. Its description in RNAcentral is "long non-coding RNA (NBEN_LNC019017)". The record is from RNAcentral. Lineage: Eukaryota; Viridiplantae; Streptophyta; Magnoliopsida; Solanales; Solanaceae.
UUGAAUUCUACUGUACUCAUCAGGACCAAGUCCAUACACUAGUCAUUUCUUAGCUUUAGCAUUUUUCUCCCAUUUCCUUAGGUCUUCAGCAGUACAAUCUGCUCUAGUCUUAGGCAUAUCCAAUCCUUCAGCAGUCUUCUUGGUUGUGGCUAAAGGAAAAUCAGUUGUGAUGUCCCAAAGCUCAUAGUCUUCACCCAUAAUGUGGUCUCAUUCUGUUUUUCCACCAAGAGUAGUAGAGCCCAUUGAAGAGUGGAGGCCUUGCAGUAGACUGUCCUUCCCAAUUCCCAGGUGGUGC